UGUGGUGGUUUUUAAGAAUAGAGUGUUGUCGGUUGAUUUUCUGGUGAGCAAAGGAUGUUAUGUUGUUUAGAGUGGUGAUAGUGUUUUAGACGAGGUGUUUUACAUUGGUUCCAUGAUUCCGCCUCUGUCCGCUUACGGGGGGCAGCAAUGAGGAAUGUUGCGCAAUGGAGGCAACUCUGACGCAGCCAUGCCGCGUGCAGGAAGACGGCCUUACGCGUUGUAAACUGCUUUUAUUGGGGAAGAAACCCCAAGACGUGUCCUGGGUAGACGGUACCGAAAGAAUAAGCACCGGAUAACUUCGUGCCAGCAGCCGUGAUAAUGCGAAGGGUGCAAGCGUUAUCCGGAUUCAUUGGGUUUAAAGGGUGCGUAGGCGGAACAAUAAGUCAGUGGUGAAAUCGGGCAGCUCAACUGUAGACUUGCCAUUGAUACUGGCGUUCUGGAGUGCGGAUGAAGU
RNAcentral lists this ribosomal RNA (454 nucleotides) under uncultured bacterium. Its description in RNAcentral is "bacterial SSU rRNA". It matches the Rfam family "Bacterial small subunit ribosomal RNA", at positions 190 to 658 of the family's 1533-position model. The record is from RNAcentral.